AGAGUUUGAUCCUGGCUCAGGAUGAACGCUGGCGGUAUGCCUAACACAUGCAAGUCGAACGAUGUCUUCGGACAUAGUGGCGGACGGGUGAGUAACGCGUGAGAAUCUGCCUCUAGGAUGGGGAUAACGGUUGGAAACGACCGCUAACACCCAAUAUGCCGUAAGGUGAAAAAUUUAUUGCCUGGAGAGGAGCUCGCGUCUGAUUAGCUAGUUGGUGGGGUAAGAGCUCACCAAGGCUUCGAUCAGUAGCUGGUCUGAGAGGAUGAGCAGCCACACUGGGACUGAGACACGGCCCAGACUCCUACGGGAGGCAGCAGUGGGGAAUUUUCCGCAAUGGGCGAAAGCCUGACGGAGCAAUACCGCGUGAGGGAGGAAUGCCUUUGGGUUGUAAACCUCUUUUCUCAGGGAAGAAGAUCUGACGGUACCUGAGGAAUAAGUAUCGGCUAACUCCGUGCCAGCAGCCGCGGUAAUACGGAGGAUGCAAGCGUUAUCCGGAAUCAUUGGGCGUAAAGCGUCCGCAGGUGGUUUCCAAAGUCUGCUGUUAAAGACUGGAGCUCAACUCCGGAACGGCGGUGGAAACUUGGAAACUAGAGUUCGGUAGGGGUAGCAGGAAUUCCCAGUGUAGCGGUGAAAUGCGUAGAUAUUGGGAAGAACAUCGGUGGCGAAGGCGUGCUACUGGACCGUAACUGACACUCAGGGACGAAAGCUAGGGGAGCGAAAGGGAUUAGAUACCCCUGUAGUCCUAGCUGUAAACGAUGGAAACUAGGUGUGGCUUGUAUCGACCCGAGCCGUGCCGUANCUAACGCGUUAAGUUUCCCGCCUGGGGAGU
This 829-nucleotide ribosomal RNA is filed under the name uncultured marine microorganism. Its description in RNAcentral is "bacterial SSU rRNA". It matches the Rfam family "Bacterial small subunit ribosomal RNA", at positions 8 to 881 of the family's 1533-position model. The record is from RNAcentral.